This 253-nucleotide ribosomal RNA is filed under the name uncultured bacterium. Its description in RNAcentral is "partial 16S ribosomal RNA". It matches the Rfam family "Bacterial small subunit ribosomal RNA", at positions 524 to 776 of the family's 1533-position model. The record is from RNAcentral.
UACGUAGGUGGCAAGCGUUGUCCGGAUUUACUGGGCGUAAAGAGCGCGCAGGCGGUCGUUCAAGUCGCGUGUGAAAGCCCCCGGCUCAACUGGGGAGGGUCACGCGAUACUGAUCGACUCGAAGGCAGGAGAGGGAAGUGGAAUUCCCGGUGUAGUGGUGAAAUGCGUAGAUAUCAAGAGGAACACCAGUGGCGAAGGCGAGUCCCUGGACAACUUCUGACGCUGAGGCACGAAAGCUAGGGGAGCAAACAGG